Molecule: long non-coding RNA, 1070 nt
Filed under: Androctonus crassicauda
Lineage: Eukaryota; Metazoa; Arthropoda; Arachnida; Scorpiones; Buthidae
Source: RNAcentral
CAGUUUUUCAAUAUGAAUAAUAAAUAAAAUAAAAAGAGAAAGUUUGCACAAAGUUUUGCUUUGCUAAACAUAAAAGAACAAUAUACAAUAGUUGUAACUGAAAUGUAUCAAAUGAUACAAAUAAUUAUUGGUAAAGAAGUUUUAUCACAAACACUAAUCUACAAUUUAUUGUCAAAAUUCAAAAAAUGGCACUCUUCUGUGGAAGAUAUCAUAAUGAUGGAUCAUCAAAUGAAACAGGUGAAAAUAUUCAGACUGGAAGAUUUGAUUCAUCAAGAUAGACAACAAAUAAUUCAUAAUGGAUAUAAAAAACUGAACUUUUCUUACAAUACCUCCCAAUUAUUUUAUUACAUGAUUGAACUUACAAAGAAUUUAUAUUAGAUGAACAAAAGAAAAAUAGAUUGCAUGUUUGUCAUGAGCUUCAGGAAUAAGUACAAAAUGAUUCUGAUUUUGAUCUAAAGGAGAUAAUAGGCAAUAAAACGUUUGACAGACAUGAUUCCAAAAUAAAAACAGCAGUCUUCACAAUGGAAAUCUUUAUCUUGAUAGUGAAGGGAUUAUCCAUGUGAAUUCCCCUUAGAAAAACUGUCAGUCAAAAUUAUUACAAUACAGAUGUCUAUGACAUAUAUAUAGAAGAUCUAUUGAAAUUAUCUUGAGAAAUUGAAGACAAGGAGAUUGGAUUGCUGCAUCAUGAUGUGCCUAUACACACUGUACUUCCUGUCCAAAGAUUUCUAUGCAACAACAAUAUAGUAUAAUUCCUCAUCUAUUCAAUUCUAUAAGCUUCACUCUCUGCAAUUACUUUCUCUCUCCAAAAAUGAAAUUGAAGUUGAAAGGGAAAAAUUCAUGAUUUUGUUAUUGAAUUUUUGAGUUCAAUGACAAUCAUGAAGUUUUUAUGGACAUUAUGAAAGAAGACUUCCAGGCAUGCUUUUAAUAGUGUUAGGAUCUUUGGGCUCAGUGUAUAAAUACAAGGAAAUAUAUUGAAGACAUAUGAUAUAUUUGAUAAGCAAAUAAAUGCUUUGUCAAGUCAUCAUGUAUUUCUGUUCAGGAACCAUUUGAAUAUUAUAUGAGAUGAAGAC